AGAGUUUGAUCCUGGCUCAGGAUAAACGCUGGCGGCGCACAUAAGACAUGCAAGUCGAACGAACUUAACUCAUUCUUUUAGAUUGAGAGCGGUUAGUGGCGGACUGGUGAGUAACACGUAAGCAACCUGCCUAUUAGAGGGGAAUAACAGUGAGAAAUCAUUGCUAAUACCGCAUAUGCUAAUAGUAUCGCAUGAUACAGUUAGGAAAGGAGUAAUCCGCUAAUAGAUGGGCUUGCGCCUGAUUAGCUAGUUGGUGGGGCAACGGCCUACCAAGGCGACGAUCAGUAGCCGGACUGAGAGGUUGAACGGCCACAUUGGGACUGAGAUACGGCCCAGACUCCUACGGGAGGCAGCAGUCGGGAAUAUUGCGCAAUGGAGGAAACUCUGACGCAGUGACGCCGCGUAUAGGAAGAAGGUUUUCGGAUUGUAAACUAUUGUCGUUAGGGAAGAUACAAGACAGUACCUAAGGAGGAAGCCCCGGCUAACUAUGUGCCAGCAGCCGCGGUAAUACAUAGGGGGCAAGCGUUAUCCGGAAUUAUUGGGUGUAAAGGGUGCGUAGACGGAGGAGCAAGUUGGUUGUGAAAUCCCUCGGCUUAACUGAGGAACUGCAACCAAAACUACUUCCCUUGAGUGUCGGAGAGGAAAGUGGAAUUCCUAGUGUAGCGGUGAAAUGCGUAGAUAUUAGGAGGAACACCAGUGGCGAAGGCGACUUUCUGGACGAUAACUGACGUUGAGGCACGAAAGUGUGGGGAGCAAACAGGAUUAGAUACCCUGGUAGUCCACACUGUAAACGAUGGAUA
Molecule: ribosomal RNA, 800 nt
Filed under: uncultured bacterium
Lineage: Bacteria
Description: bacterial SSU rRNA
Rfam family: Bacterial small subunit ribosomal RNA
Source: RNAcentral